GAUGAACGCUGGCGGCGUGCUUAACACAUGCAAGUCGAACGAUGAAGCCCAGCUUGCUGGGUGGAUUAGUGGCGAACGGGUGAGUAACACGUGAGUAACCUGCCCCCGACUCUGGGAUAAGCCCGGGAAACUGGGUCUAAUACCGGAUAUUACCUCUUGCCGCAUGGCAGGUGGUGGAAAGAUUUAUCGGUGGGGGAUGGACUCGCGGCCUAUCAGCUUGUUGGUGAGGUAAUGGCUCACCAAGGCGACGACGGGUAGCCGGCCUGAGAGGGUGACCGGCCACACUGGGACUGAGACACGGCCCAGACUCCUACGGGAGGCAGCAGUGGGGAAUAUUGCACAAUGGGCGAAAGCCUGAUGCAGCGACGCCGCGUGAGGGAUGACGGCCUUCGGGUUGUAAACCUCUUUCAGUAGGGAAGAAGCGAAAGUGACGGUACCUGCAGAAGAAGCGCCGGCUAACUACGUGCCAGCAGCCGCAGUA
Molecule: ribosomal RNA, 481 nt
Filed under: uncultured bacterium
Lineage: Bacteria
Description: bacterial SSU rRNA
Rfam family: Bacterial small subunit ribosomal RNA
Source: RNAcentral